Molecule: ribosomal RNA, 379 nt
Filed under: uncultured cyanobacterium
Lineage: Bacteria; Bacillati; Cyanobacteriota
Description: bacterial SSU rRNA
Rfam family: Bacterial small subunit ribosomal RNA
Source: RNAcentral
CGAAAGCCUGACGGAGCAACGCCGCGUGAGGGAUGAAGGCCUCUGGGCUGUAAACCUCUUUUAUCAAGGAAGAAGAUCUGACGGUACUUGAUGAAUAAGCCACGGCUAAUUCCGUGCCAGCAGCCGCGGUAAUACGGGAGUGGCAAGCGUUAUCCGGAAUUAUUGGGCGUAAAGCGUCCGCAGGCGGUCUUUUAAGUCUGUCGUUAUAGCGUGGAGCUUAACUCCAUUUAAGCGAUGGAAACUGCAAGACUAGAGUGUGGUAGGGGCAGAGGGAAUUCCCGGUGUAGCGGUGAAAUGCGUAGAUAUCGGGAAGAACACCAGUGGCGAAGGCGCUCUGCUGGGCCAUAACUGACGCUCAUGGACGAAAGCCAGGGGAGCG